RNAcentral lists this signal recognition particle RNA (148 nucleotides) under Chlorocebus sabaeus (green monkey). RNAcentral describes it as "Metazoan signal recognition particle RNA". It matches the Rfam family "Metazoan signal recognition particle RNA". Rfam says of the family: The signal recognition particle (SRP) is a universally conserved ribonucleoprotein. Lineage: Eukaryota; Metazoa; Chordata; Mammalia; Primates; Cercopithecidae. The record is from Rfam by way of RNAcentral.
GCUAGGCGUGGUGGCGGGCACCUGUAAUCCCAGCUACUUGGGAGGCUGAGGUGGGAGAAUCACUUGAACCCAGGAGGUGGGGGUUGCAGUGAGCCGAGAUCAUGCCACUGCACUCCACCCUGGGUGACAGAGUGAGACCCCAUUUCAA